RNAcentral lists this ribosomal RNA (432 nucleotides) under uncultured bacterium. RNAcentral's name for it is "partial 16S ribosomal RNA". It matches the Rfam family "Bacterial small subunit ribosomal RNA", at positions 29 to 506 of the family's 1533-position model. The record is from RNAcentral.
AACGAACGCUGGCGGCAUGCCUAACACAUGCAAGUCGAACGAGACCUUCGGGUCUAGUGGCGCACGGGUGCGUAACGCGUGGGAACCUGCCCUUAGGUUCGGAAUAACUCCCCGGAAGGGGUGCUAAUACCGGAUAAUGUCUUCGGACCAAAGAUUUAUCGCCUUUGGAUGGGCCCGCGUUGGAUUAGCUAGUCGGUAGGGUAAAAGCCUACCAAGGCGACGAUCCAUAGCUGGUCUGAGAGGAUGAUCAGCCACACUGGGACUGAGACACGGCCCAGACUCCUACGGGAGGCAGCAGUGGGGAAUAUUGGACAAUGGGCGAAAGCCUGAUCCAGCAAUGCCGCGUGAGUGAUGAAGGCCUUAGGGUUGUAAAGCUCUUUUACCCGGGAUGAUAAUGACAGUACCGGGAGAAUAAGCUCCGGCUAACUCCGU